Molecule: unclassified non-coding RNA, 240 nt
Filed under: soil metagenome
Description: partial contains 5.8S ribosomal RNA, internal transcribed spacer 2, and large subunit ribosomal RNA
Source: RNAcentral
AACCAUAGAAACCUGCGGAGUACCUGCGGAGGGAUCAUUAUUGAUUUUUUAAAGGAUGUGCUGGCCCCCGGGGCAUAUAUGGUGCACUCCCAAAAAAAACCAAACAUCCACCUGUGCACUUUUCAGUAGGCAAAAAAGAAGACUUUUGCGAGUCUUUUCUUGUCUAUGUUUCAUUACAAACACUUGAGCUCAUUUGAAUGCUUUAUACAAUGACAUAAUUUGUAAUACAACUUUCAACAA